This 2803-nucleotide long non-coding RNA is filed under the name Homo sapiens (human). Its description in RNAcentral is "HSALNT0198364". The record is from RNAcentral. Lineage: Eukaryota; Metazoa; Chordata; Mammalia; Primates; Hominidae.
CUGCAUUUCCCAAGACCGCCCUGGCCUGCCACGCCCCUAUAAUGUGCCUUUAAAAGCCCAAGACCGUCGCUAGGCACAGACGGAAGUGACUGGAUGUGGAGAGGAGUGUAUCCGCGAAGGAACGCACAAGUGGCCUGACCUGCAGAAGAACGCUAGCUAGGCACUAGGCAUGCCGGCAAGGUCAGCUGAGAGCUGACCCCAGUGCAACGUGGAGGAGUUUGGUUGGGGCAGUCGGAGGAGCACCUGGGCCGCCAAGCGGCCAGACUUCGGGGGAAAGCCAUCUCUCUUCUGGCGCCUUUAUCGGCAGAGAGCUACUUGUACUCAAAACCUUGCACUCAUUCUCCAAGCCCACGUGGGUAAGAUUCACCCACACUGCGGAGGGCGUCGGAGCUCCACAGCCUGCCUGUCUGUAUGCUCCCAUAGAGGUUUGAGCAGCGGGGCACUGGAGAAGCAAGUCACACCCCCAUUGCACGCCAUGGGAGUAGGACAAGGCAUCAAGGAUGGAGAUGCGCUAAGACUGAUGAUGUACACAGUACAAAUAGUGCAAAUAAGGAUGAGAAUACAAGCCCUGGUGAUUAAAAAAGGAUUCAACAGAGUUGGAUUGCUGAGAAUAAAAUUACGGAUUUCUCCAUAAUGGACACACGCACUUUUUGUUUGUGCUGUUUCCUUUAGAAUGGACGAUGAGUCAAAAUUGUUCGUUUAUGCUUCUUCACAGAAGGAUCUUCUGUGUCGUAGGAGGUGGCCUGCAGCAAUCUGGACAUUCAGUGGUCCUCCUGUGAUUAAUAGGUGAACGGAUGAGCUAUUCUGAUAAGAACUGGGGAACUUUUGCCAUUCAAAAGCAAAUAGAAGAACUGGGAGAUUCCUCAACUUAGCUUUUCUUUUUUUUGGUUCUAAAGUGACUGCGAAUGGAGGUAGAAGAGAAGAAAAGCUUUCAAAAACAUCUUCCAUUAAGAAAAAUAUGUAUCUUCAUGAAGACCUAUCUGAGUAAAAUUACUAAAACAUAAUGGCUUUCUUGAAAUAGAAUGGAAUGAAAGGCAUAUUAGGGAGUAUGAAAGUAUGAAGAUUUUAUUAACAUACUUCUAGAAGUUUAUUAAAUAUCUGCACAGGAACUGUAAUUUGAGAUCAGUGGUGGAAAGAGAAUAAAGGAAUCACGUGGACAUCAGCUCUGAGGCCUGUGGCCCCACUUGCUUCUGGGCUUUCUAUAGACAUUUGCUGGUGACCUGCCCAGGCAGGCUAGAGUACCCUUCCUCAUUGCACCCUGUGUUCCCAUCCUCUUUUCCUUCCUUCCUUCCUUCCUUCCUUCCUUCCUUCCUUUCUUCCUCCAUCCCUUAUGAAACCCUCGUUGUGCAGUUACUUAUUAGGUGCUGUGUGAGCGUCUGAAGUCUCCCCUCACCCACUUUUCCAUUUGGGCCACUUGGCCAGUGAUUGCAUCAGUACCAGGGUUCUAGGAGCCAUGCAGGGAUCCCCAGUGGGCAGAGCUGGCCGUAGCAUUUGGAAAGGAAGAGAGAGAACUGGAGACAAUGCCUAGGAACAAAAGCAGAGUCCAGACCCAGGCAUCAAGUGCAAAUCCAAAGGCUCUGGAUGAGUCAGUUCCCAGCAAAGGGACACAAGUAGGCACAGAAGGAAGGACAGCAGAAAACACUGGUCCAGAGAGGGCCUGCAGAGCCAGAAGCGAUGACGCAUCCAAGGUUGUGUUUGACUUCUGCACUGCCUCUGCAACCUGUAAGCACAUCUGAGCCAGUUCAGAAAGUAGGAAAACCAAAGUAUAUCAGAAAUGGCCUCUUAUCAUCAAGGAGAUUUUGGUCUAGAUUGCUUAUUGCUCAGGAGAAAUCACCACUUUUUAAAAAGAUAUGCUGAGAUAGGGUUUAGUUGGGAUAGAAAAGGUUAUUAAACUACGGGACACCCUUCCUUUACAGAGUGUAAGCACUACUACCCCUUUUGUUUGUCUGUUUUUCUUAUUUUUCUCACAGAUGCAGUUCCUGCAUUAGUAUUGAUAAAUGUGUGGCUGCUCCACUUGGAGUGUUUUCAAAGCAUAAAUCACAGCAUUGAUGGUGCUGUGGUUUGGCUCUUCCAGCCCUCUUAACAACGGUCUGAUGGACUUGGCGAGAGUCUAGCCACGUGUUCUGGCCUCUGUCACUCUCAUGGCUGAAACGCAUGCACACCCACAGAUGGGGGCCCCGUGGUAGAGAUGUGCCUCUACUUGUCAAAUAGACUGACUCCAAAUUCGGAAAUAUGCCUCAGGAAUCUAGAAAGAUAGAAAAGGAGUCUUCGUCACUGUAGGGUCUCAUUCACAAUAUGGAGGAGAGAUGGAGGGGAGUUUUUGGUAUAAAUUUUGCCUCAUAAAAAUUCUCCACGUUGUUUUGUACUGUAUGAGGGUAGCGAGAAAUUAGUUGAUGGUUAACAAUCAAGCUGGAGAAGAAUAUCCUCAAUUUUUCACAUGGAAAAUGAAAAACUACAACUCCUUCCAAAUAUAUGUAUGUUUCUUUUCUGAAGAUAGACGUGUGUGUGUUUGUGUGUAUCAUAUAACAUUUAUUUUUUGAUUUCUUUGUUAUCAACAGUAAAAAUACAGAAAAUGAUGCCAAAGAGAAUUUCUGAUUUUUCUUUCCUUGUUUUCCAUUAAAGUGUAUUACAAAUAAUGUCUUCAAACACAAUAGCAUGCAUAGUGGCUUAAAUUGGAUUCUUCCUGGGCCACUCUGUUUAGGAUCCAGGUUUUUAACAUUGUUCUUCUAAGUGCAUCCAUGUUUCCUGAGAUCCACAAAGCUUGAUCUCAUCCGUGGAACCACCUGGCCUAGAACCAGCUGCG